Molecule: ribosomal RNA, 823 nt
Filed under: uncultured bacterium
Lineage: Bacteria
Description: bacterial SSU rRNA
Rfam family: Bacterial small subunit ribosomal RNA
Source: RNAcentral
CAUGCAGUCGAACGAAGCACUUUAUUUGAUUUCCUUCGGGACUGAUUAUUUUGUGACUGAGUGGCGGACGGGUGAGUAACGCGUGGGUAACCUGCCUUGUACAGGGGGAUAACAGUUGGAAACGGCUGCUAAUACCGCAUAAGCGCACGGCAUCGCAUGAUGCAGUGUGAAAAACUCCGGUGGUAUAAGAUGGACCCGCGUUGGAUUAGCUAGUUGGUGAGGUAACGGCCCACCAAGGCGACGAUCCGUAGCCGACCUGAGAGGGUGACCGGCCACAUUGGGACUGAGACACGGCCCAAACUCCUACGGGAGGCAGCAGUGGGGAAUAUUGCACAAUGGGCGAAAGCCUGAUGCAGCGACGCCGCGUGAGCGAAGAAGUAUUUCGGUAUGUAAAGCUCUAUCAGCAGGGAAGAUAAUGACGGUACCUGACUAAGAAGCACCGGCUAAAUACGUGCCAGCAGCCGCGGUAAUACGUAUGGUGCAAGCGUUAUCCGGAUUUACUGGGUGUAAAGGGAGCGCAGGCGGUGCGGCAAGUCUGAUGUGAAAGCCCGGGGCUCAACCCCGGUACUGCAUUGGAAACUGUCGUACUAGAGUGUCGGAGGGGUAAGCGGAAUUCCUAGUGUAGCGGUGAAAUGCGUAGAUAUUAGGAGGAACACCAGUGGCGAAGGCGGCUUACUGGACGAUAACUGACGCUGAGGCUCGAAAGCGUGGGGAGCAAACAGGAUUAGAUACCCUGGUAGUCCGCGCCGUAAACGAUGAAUACUAGGUGUUGGGGAGCAUUGCUUCUCGGUGCCGUCGCAAACGCAGUAAGUAUUCCACCUGG